GGAGGACGCUCAAGACAAUUCUUUAUAUGCCUCCUUAAACUGCAUGUGCCACACUUUGGACGACGAUUUAAGACUAGACCAUAGUUCUUACACUUUACUUUUUGAACUUCUUCAUUUUCUUCUACCACCUCAAAGUGUUUUCAAACAUAUGAGCGCAUUGUAGAAGUACGAGGGAUGAUUUAACUUGAACUCUUGAAUUGCGAAUUUGAGAUUGAAUUGAGAAUUGAG
RNAcentral lists this long non-coding RNA (228 nucleotides) under Nicotiana benthamiana. Its description in RNAcentral is "long non-coding RNA (NBEN_LNC024781)". Lineage: Eukaryota; Viridiplantae; Streptophyta; Magnoliopsida; Solanales; Solanaceae. The record is from RNAcentral.